RNAcentral lists this ribosomal RNA (253 nucleotides) under uncultured bacterium. RNAcentral's name for it is "partial 16S ribosomal RNA". It matches the Rfam family "Bacterial small subunit ribosomal RNA", at positions 524 to 776 of the family's 1533-position model. The record is from RNAcentral.
UACGUAGGGUGCGAGCGUUAAUCGGAAUUACUGGGCGUAAAGGGAGCGUAGGCGGAUAGUUUAGUCAGAGGUGAAAGCCCAGGGCUCAACCUUGGAAUUGCCUUUGAUACUGGCUAUCUUGAGUACGGAAGAGGUAUGUGGAACUCCGAGUGUAGAGGUGAAAUUCGUAGAUAUUCGGAAGAACACCAGUGGCGAAGGCGACAUACUGGUCCGUUACUGACGCUGAGGCUCGAAAGCGUGGGGAGCAAACAGG